CCUACGGGCGGCUGCAGUGAGGAAUCUUGGUCAAUGGACGAGAGUCUGACCCAGCCACGUCGCGUGAAUGAUGACUGCCCUAUGGUUUGUAAACUUCUUUUAUCUGGGAAUAAAAUGUUCCUCGUGAGGGAUUUUGUAUUUACCAUUUCAAUAAGGAUCGGCUAAAUCCGUGUCAGCACCCGCGGUCAUACGUAGGAUCGGAGUGUUAUCCGGAUUUUUUGGGUUUAAAGGGAGGGUAAGGGGAAUGUUAAGUCAGUUGUGAAAGUUUGGGGGUCAACCGUAAAAAUGCAGUUGAAACUGGCAGUCUAGAGUACCGUAGAGGUGAGUGGAAUUCGUGGUGUAGCGGUGAAAUGCUUAGAUAUCACGAAGAACACCGAUUGCGAAGGCAGCUCACUGGACGGCAACUGACACUGAGGCGCGAAAGUGUGGGUAGCAAACAGGAUUAGAUACCCGGGUAGUC
Molecule: ribosomal RNA, 460 nt
Filed under: uncultured bacterium
Lineage: Bacteria
Description: partial 16S ribosomal RNA
Rfam family: Bacterial small subunit ribosomal RNA
Source: RNAcentral